AAAUUGAAGAGUUUGAUCAUGGCUCAGAUUGAACGCUGGCGGCAGGCCUAACACAUGCAAGUCGAACGGUAACAGGAAGAAGCUUGCUUCUUUGCUGACGAGUGGCGGACGGGUGAGUAAUGUCUGGGAAACUGCCCGAUGGAGGGGGAUAACUACUGGAAACGGUAGCUAAUACCGCAUAACGUCGCAAGACCAAAGAGGGGGACCUUCGGGCCUCUUGCCAUCGGAUGUGCCCAGAUGGGAUUAGCUUGUUGGUGAGGUAACGGCUCACCAAGGCGACGAUCCCUAGCUGGUCUGAGAGGAUGACCAGCCACACUGGAACUGAGACACGGUCCAGACUCCUACGGGAGGCAGCAGUGGGGAAUAUUGCACAAUGGGCGCAAGCCUGAUGCAGCCAUGCCGCGUGUAUGAAGAAGGCCUUCGGGUUGUAAAGUACUUUCAGCGGGGAGGAAGGGAGUAAAGUUAAUACCUUUGCUCAUUGACGUUACCCGCAGAAGAAGCACCGGCUAACUCCGUGCCAGCAGCCGCGGUAAUACGGAGGGUGCAAGCGUUAAUCGGAAUUACUGGGCGUAAAGCGCACGCAGGCGGUUGAUUAAGUCAGAUGUGAAAUCCCCGGGCUCAACCUGGGAACUGCAUCUGAUACUGGUCAGCUUGAGUCUCGUAGAGGGGGGUAGAAUUCCAGGUGUAGCGGUGAAAUGCGUAGAGAUCUGGAGGAAUACCGGUGGCGAAGGCGGCCCCCUGGACGAAGACUGACGCUCAGGUGCGAAAGCGUGGGGAGCAAACAGGAUUAGAUACCCUGGUAGUCCACGCCGUAAACGAUGUCGACUUGGAGGUUGUGCCCUUGAGGCGUGGCUUCCGGAGCUAACGCGUUAAGUCGACCGCCUGGGGAGUACGGCCGCAAGGUUAAAACUCAAAUGAAUUGACGGGGGCCCGCACAAGCGGUGGAGCAUGUGGUUUAAUUCGAUGCAACGCGAAGAACCUUACCUGGUCUUGACAUCCACGGAAGUUUUCAGAGAUGAGAAUGUGCCUUCGGGAACCGUGAGACAGGUGCUGCAUGGCUGUCGUCAGCUCGUGUUGUGAAAUGUUGGGUUAAGUCCCGCAACGAGCGCAAC
This 1112-nucleotide ribosomal RNA is filed under the name Escherichia albertii. Its description in RNAcentral is "bacterial SSU rRNA". It matches the Rfam family "Bacterial small subunit ribosomal RNA", at positions 1 to 1102 of the family's 1533-position model. Lineage: Bacteria; Pseudomonadati; Pseudomonadota; Gammaproteobacteria; Enterobacterales; Enterobacteriaceae. The record is from RNAcentral.